CCUUGGCUUAGCGCUUGUGGGGGUUCGCUUCGAACCGUCUCCUUGCGGGACAAUGUGGGAAACACGAAACUUGACCUCAGAUCAGGUGGGACUACCCGCUGAACUUAAGCAUAUCAAUAAGCGGAGGAAAAGAAACUAACAAGGAUUCCCCUAGUAACUGCGAGUGAAGCGGGAAAAGCUCAAAUUUAAAAUCUGGCGGUCUCUGGCCGUCCGAGUUGUAGUUUAGAGAAGCGUCUUCCGCGCUGGACCGUGUACAAGUCUCCUGGAAUGGAGCGUCGUAGAGGGUGAGAAUCCCGUCUUUGACACGGACUGCCAGUGCUAUGCGAUGCGCUCUCGAAGAGUCGAGUUGUUUGGGAAUGCAGCUCAAAACGGGUGGUGAACUCCAUCUAAAGCUAAAUAUUGGCGAGAGACCGAUAGCGAACAAGUACCGUGAGGGAAAGAUGAAAAGCACUUUGGAAAGAGAGUGAAACAGUACGUGAAAUUGCUGAAAGGGAAACGCUUGAAGUCAGUCGCGUCUGCCGGGACUCAGCCUUGCUUCGGCCUGGUGUACUUCCUGGUGGACGGGCCAGCAUCGCUUUUGGUCGCUGGAAAAGGGCGGGGGGAAGGUGGCACCUUCGGGUGUGUUAUAGCCCCCCGUCGCAUGCAGUGGCUGGGAGCGAGGAACUCAGCGCGCCUUUGGUCGGGGUUCGCCCACGAUCGCGCUUAGGAUGCCGGCGUAAUGGCUUUAAACGACCCGUCUUGAAACACGGACCAAGGAGUCUAACAUGCUUGCGAGUGUUCGGGUGGAAAACCCGUGCGCGAAAUGAAAGUGAAAGUCGAGAACCCUGUCGUGGGGUGCACCGACGCCCGGACCUGAGCUUUUGCGACGGUUCUGCGGUAGAGCACGUAUGUUGGGACCCGAAAGAUGGUGAACUAUGCCUGAAUAGGGUGAAGCCAGAGGAAACUCUGGUGGAGGCUCGUAGCGAUUCUGACGUGCAAAUCGAUCGUCAAAUUUGGGUAUAGGGGCGAAAGACUAAUCGA
Molecule: ribosomal RNA, 1020 nt
Filed under: Vararia parmastoi
Lineage: Eukaryota; Fungi; Basidiomycota; Agaricomycetes; Russulales; Lachnocladiaceae
Description: eukaryotic LSU rRNA
Rfam family: Eukaryotic large subunit ribosomal RNA
Source: RNAcentral